GGGCAGGGCAGUGCCGGGCAGGGGGCCUGGCUCCCGGCUCCCGGCGGCUCCAGGCGAGCGCUCCCGCCGCGCCCGCGACACCGGAAACGGCUCGGCCCGGACGCCGCGCGCCGUGAUGACGCAGAGCAACGGGGAAGGGUGCACAGUUCUGAACAGUGGCAUCAGUACCAUCAAAUAUGAAGAUACCAUAUUUGAACAUUAUUUUCAGAGAGUUGGCCAGAAAACAAACAAACAACAAACAAACAAAGGAAUAGCUCUGUUGUACAUCUGGAUUCUGGCAAGAAGGACAUGAAACAAUAAAAAACUUACACUAACA
Molecule: long non-coding RNA, 316 nt
Organism: Haemorhous mexicanus (house finch)
Lineage: Eukaryota; Metazoa; Chordata; Aves; Passeriformes; Fringillidae
Exons: 3
Source: RefSeq, a predicted model, not a curated record